GGGGGGAGUGUAUUGCAACAGAAUCAUUUGGAUCGGGCCUAACUGAGAGGUCCAAGGUGAGACGAACAAAGAAGGAGCCAAAGGCUCACUUCCUUCGUCUUCUUCAGGAGCGGCCACGAGAAGGCAGAAUAGGUCACGGUGAUGACCAAGUCGCGCCGACUCCGCCGACGGCAACAACGAUCUCACGGGUGACGCCCCCGCUACUAAUCCAACCGAAACACCAUGCCAACGUGAUUCUAACACACGCCGAUUCAAACGCCAGAUGAUAACGGAUUGGGACUCGACCGCGAUUCACGACCACGCCUCUGCAACACGACUCACACCACAACGAUUCAAUCGGUUAACGCGAGGAGACGAGGGAACCUACCGGCGAUGGAGAAAUUGGAUUCGCCGGUGAAUGUCGGAUUCCGAGCUCAGAUUCUCUUAUGGUGGUUCGAUACGUAUGCUACGCGAGACUCGGUGCGUGUGUUGCAGAUUGGAUGCGAUGCUGAGAUUAGAUGGUUAUUGGUGGUUCAAAGAAUGUUGAAGCAGAAAACGGGGGAAGAUUUUGCAGAGAAGUGAGGAGAGUAUUUUUUUAGCAGAGAAAAAGUCCUGAAAUUUUGCAGAACAGAGGCUUAUAUAGCGCUCCUAUGUAUUGAGUUUGACAUGGAAAUCGAUUUCACUUGCGCUUUGCUUCUA
Molecule: long non-coding RNA, 678 nt
Organism: Lathyrus oleraceus (garden pea)
Lineage: Eukaryota; Viridiplantae; Streptophyta; Magnoliopsida; Fabales; Fabaceae
Exons: 2
Source: RefSeq, a predicted model, not a curated record